Long non-coding RNA from Canis lupus familiaris (dog), 466 nucleotides. RefSeq lists it as uncharacterized. The record is from RefSeq and is a predicted model, not a curated record. The transcript is spliced from 3 exons. Lineage: Eukaryota; Metazoa; Chordata; Mammalia; Carnivora; Canidae.
AGUGAAGCCAAGGCCAGGGGGCUGUGGAGGUAGGACCAGGAAACCGGAAAGCCAGAGAACCAACCCGGGUGUUCUGAGAGCAACUUUGGGACUACUCAACACUGACCUUUGGUGGAAGGAGUGCCCAUGGGGUAUUCUCAUCGAAAGUUCAAUCACUUAUGUGCCAACAAAUUUAAAUAUCACUGGUUACCUUCCGAUAUCCUGGUACACCCAAAGGGCAGGAAUUGACCUAUAAAUUCUGGAUGGUGAGGCAACCUUGUUGGCCCUUGGCAUGGUGGCUGUCCGAGGAUUGCACUGCAUGGUAGAAGCUGGCCAGGUGCCCAUGGACAUCAUCUUUUAACAAUUUAUAAGUGAUAUUUUAAAAUGAAGAACUUGUUCUGAUGUCUAUACUAAUGAACUCUUUGAGUAGGGGGAAAGGAGCUUCCUUAGAUUUUAAAUUUGUAAUAAAGGCAUUUUAAAAAGAAAA